GACGAACGCUGGCGGCGUGCUUAACACAUGCAAGUCGAACGCUGAAGCUCAGCUUUUGUUGGGUGGAUGAGUGGCGAACGGGUGAGUAACACGUGAGUAACCUGCCUCCUUCUUUGGGAUAACGCCCGGAAACGGGUGCUAAUACUGGAUAUUCACUGGUCUUCGCAUGGGGGUUGGUGGAAAGGGUUUUUCUGGUGGGGGAUGGGCUCGCGGCCUAUCAGCUUGUUGGUGGGGUGAUGGCCUACCAAGGCUUUGACGGGUAGCCGGCCUGAGAGGGUGACCGGUCACAUUGGGACUGAGAUACGGCCCAGACUACUACGGGAGGCAGCAGUGGGGAAUAUUGCACAAUGGGCGCAAGCCUGAUGCAGCGACGCCGCGUGAGGGAUGGAGGCCUGCGGGUUGUGAACCUCUUUCGCUCAUGGUCAAGCCGCAACAAUGGUUGUGGUGAGGGUAGUGGGUAAAGAAGCGCCGGCUAACUACGUG
RNAcentral lists this ribosomal RNA (483 nucleotides) under uncultured bacterium. RNAcentral describes it as "partial 16S ribosomal RNA". It matches the Rfam family "Bacterial small subunit ribosomal RNA", at positions 28 to 507 of the family's 1533-position model. The record is from RNAcentral.